GUAAGACUGGGAUAACUCCGGGAAACCGGGGCUAAUACCGGAUGGUUGUUGAACCGCAUGGUUCAGACAUAAAAGGUGGCUUCGGCUACCACUUACAGAUGGACCCGCGGCGCAUUAGCUAGUUGGUGAGGUAACGGCUCACCAAGGCGACGAUGCGUAGCCGACCUGAGAGGGUGAUCGGCCACACUGGGACUGAGACACGGCCCAGACUCCUACGGGAGGCAGCAGUAGGGAAUCUUCCGAAUGGACGAAAGUCUGACGGAGCAACGCCGCGUGAGUGAUGAAGGUUUUCGGAUCGUAAAGCUCUGUUGUUAGGGAAGAACAAGUGCCGUUCAAAUAGGGCGGCACCUUGACGGUACCUAACCAGAAAGCCACGGCUAACUACGUGCAGCAGCCGCGGUAAUACGUAGGUGGCAAGCGUUGUCCGGAAUUAUUGGGCGUAAAGGGCUCGCAGGCGGUUUCUUAAGUCUGAUGUGAAAGCCCCCGGCUCAACCGGGGAGGGUCAUUGGAAACUGGGGAACUUGAGUGCAGAAGAGGAGAGUGGAAUUCCACGUGUAGCGGUGAAAUGCGUAGAGAUGUGGAGGAACACCAGUGGCGAAGGCGACUCUCUGGUCUGUAACUGACGCUGAGGAGCGAAAGCGUGGGGAGCGAACAGGAUUAGAUACCCUGGUAGUCCACGCCGUAAACGAUGAGUGCUAAGUGUUAGGGGGUUUCCGCCCCUUAGUGCUGCAGCUAACGCAUUAAGCACUCCGCCUGGGGAGUACGGUCGCAAGACUGAAACUCAAAGGAAUUGACGGGGGCCCGCACAAGCGGUGGAGCAUGUGGUUUAAUUCGAAGCAACGCGAAGAACCUUACCAGGUCUUGACAUCCUCUGACAAUCCUAGAGAUAGGACGUCCCCUUCGGGGGCAGAGUGACAGGUGGUGCAUGGUUGUCGUCAGCUCGUGUCGUGAGAUGUUGGGUUAAGUCCCGCAACGAGCGCAACCCUUGAUCUUAGUUGCCAGCAUUCAGUUGGGCACUCUAAGGUGACUGCCGGUGACAAACCGGAGGAAGGUGGGGAUGACGUCAAAUCAUCAUGCCCCUUAUGACCUGGGCUACACACGUGCUACAAUGGGCAGAACAAAGGGCAGCGAAACCGCGAGGUUAAGCCAAUCCCACAAAUCUGUUCUCAGUUCGGAUCGCAGUCUGCAACUCGACUGCGUGAAGCUGGAAUCGCUAGUAAUCGCGGAUCAGCAUGC
This 1236-nucleotide ribosomal RNA is filed under the name Bacillus velezensis. RNAcentral describes it as "bacterial SSU rRNA". It matches the Rfam family "Bacterial small subunit ribosomal RNA", at positions 132 to 1357 of the family's 1533-position model. Lineage: Bacteria; Bacillati; Bacillota; Bacilli; Caryophanales; Bacillaceae. The record is from RNAcentral.